GUCCCUUGCUUUACGAAAGCACAGAAUGCAUUCCUUUUGUUUAUCUGCCCAUUCUUUUAGUGUUUCCAAAUCCGAGCCAUUUUCCAUCAUAUAUUGCAUAGUGUUGUCCUUGGAUAGUUCAAGUCGUUUUAUGAUUUCCCCAAGUUUCCCAUACGCCAUGACUGUAUCAUCCAGAUUGUUCGUUGCUAUAAGGUCUUCAGCCUCCGACAAGUUUAUUUUCGCAAGUGCCACCUGUUUGUCAUGUUUUGCUUCAGUUGCCAUAUUGUCUCAAAUACAGUACCGACUGUUGAGUAAAGUGUGCGAAAUUCAAAACUCAAUCUAAUUUUGUUGUAACAAUAUGUCAGUUUGUUGUUUAUUAUAUGCUCCCCUCUUUGGAAAUCCACAACAUUAAAUGUAAUAGUAUUAAAAACCAAGUUCCAAGUUAUUUAUCACUUCACUGUAUUGAUAUCUUGAAUUUAAGCAAUGUUAUACUCCACUGUCAACGCUCCAGUCCAUAUAAAACCCAAUAUUAAAAGAUUGUUACUCAUGUACGUGAUGUAAGACAAACGUUAUGUCCCCAAAUAUCUUGUUGUCGACAAAAUAUAUAAACACCGAUUUCCAAUGAAAAAUAGUCAAGUUAAUCCAAAACUGUGUAGUUUUUUAAACGAUAUAAUGAGAACCCACGAUAAAUAAACGCUUUAGUAAUUGAAAUAUAUCCACAAAAUUAAUAGAAAAUGUACUCACAGUUCCAUAUCCACUGCUAAUUCCCACAAACAAUCCUUCGCAAUCCGAUCGUAAAUAUAAAACAAAUGAUGAAAUUUCCCGUUAAUUAUCCUGCCGAUGGGUCGCCACUUUCAGUGUGGUGAAUUCCGGUCCGUUCACACUGAAUAAAUCACAUUUUUGAGUUAUUUUUACUUCUUUAUUUAAAACUAAAUAAUAUCAUAAAAGUUCUCGAACACACCACAAACACGAU
Paramuricea clavata is the source of this 952-nucleotide non-coding RNA. NCBI's taxonomy places the organism in Eukaryota, Metazoa, Cnidaria, Anthozoa, Malacalcyonacea, Plexauridae. The record is from the annotation of a GenBank genome assembly.